RNAcentral lists this transfer RNA (72 nucleotides) under Camelus bactrianus (Bactrian camel). It matches the Rfam family "tRNA". Rfam says of the family: Transfer RNA (tRNA) molecules are approximately 80 nucleotides in length. Lineage: Eukaryota; Metazoa; Chordata; Mammalia; Artiodactyla; Camelidae. RNAcentral also lists the same sequence under 2 other names. The record is from Rfam by way of RNAcentral.
GAGGGUGUAGCUCAGUGGUAGAUUGCAUGCUUAGCAGGCAUGAGGUCCUGGGUUCAAUCCCCAGUAUCUCCA